CGCUUAAUCUGCUUAAAAACAUCCUGAGAGAGAAUAGGAACAAAACUGGUUUGAAAAAUUGUAUUUGAAGAGUGUUAUCUUUGUUGCAGUGCCUGCAGGGAAGGGGCAGAGCUGAGGGUUCAGCACCAUCUGUCCUUGGGGACUUGACUCAAAGAUAUAGAAAGACCCUUCUGG
RNAcentral lists this long non-coding RNA (174 nucleotides) under Junco hyemalis (dark-eyed junco). Its description in RNAcentral is "lncRNA (ENSJHYG00000011025.1)". The record is from RNAcentral. Lineage: Eukaryota; Metazoa; Chordata; Aves; Passeriformes; Passerellidae.